AUACAAUUAAGGCACGCGGUGAAUGCCAAGAGCGGAUCCUCCAGGCGGCAUU
RNAcentral lists this microRNA precursor (52 nucleotides) under Pavo cristatus (Indian peafowl). Its description in RNAcentral is "miRNA (ENSPSTG00000015718.1)". The stretch from base 1 to 39 matches the Rfam family "mir-124 microRNA precursor family". From Rfam's summary of the family: The mature ~21nt miRNAs are processed from hairpin precursor sequences represented here, in this case originating from the 3' arm. The bounds of the precursors are predicted based on conservation and base pairing and are not generally known. Lineage: Eukaryota; Metazoa; Chordata; Aves; Galliformes; Phasianidae. The record is from RNAcentral.